Molecule: transfer RNA, 56 nt
Filed under: Nanobdellota archaeon
Lineage: Archaea; Nanobdellati; Nanobdellota
Description: Nanoarchaeota archaeon tRNA-Asn
Rfam family: tRNA
About the family: Transfer RNA (tRNA) molecules are approximately 80 nucleotides in length. Their secondary structure includes four short double-helical elements and three loops (D, anti-codon, and T loops).
Source: RNAcentral
UAGCUCAGUGGUAGAGCGUCCGGCUGUUAACCGGAAGAUCGCAGGUUCGAAUCCUG